GCCAGACUCCUACGGGAGGCAGCAGUGAGGAAUAUUGGUCAAUGGUCGGGAGACUGAACCAGCCAAGCCGCGUGAGGGGGGAAGGUACAGAGUAUCGUAAACCUCUUUUGUCAGGGAACAAAGACUGGGACGCGUCCCCGGAUGAGUGUACCUGAAGAAAAAGCAUCGGCUAACUCCGUGCCAGCAGCCGCGGUAAUACGGAGGAUGCGAGCGUUAUCCGGAUUUAUUGGGUUUAAAGGGUGCGUAGGCGGACGCUUAAGUCAGCGGUAAAAUUGGGGGGCUCAACCUCGUCGAGCCGUUGAAACUGGGUGCCUUGAGUGGGCGAGAAGUAUGCGGAAUGCGUGGUGUAGCGGUGAAAUGCAUAGAUAUCACGCAGAACUCCGAUUGCGAAGGCAGCAUACCGGCGCCCGACUGACGCUGAGGCACGAAAGCGUGGGUAUCGAACAGGAUUAGAUACCCCUGUAGA
RNAcentral lists this ribosomal RNA (466 nucleotides) under uncultured bacterium. Its description in RNAcentral is "bacterial SSU rRNA". It matches the Rfam family "Bacterial small subunit ribosomal RNA", at positions 330 to 794 of the family's 1533-position model. The record is from RNAcentral.